CGCCUGUUAAGCGUCAGGUCGAGAUAUCGUAAUUCUCCCUAGCCUCUUUAAUGCGCAUCAGGCCAUGGU
RNAcentral lists this transfer RNA (69 nucleotides) under Cellulophaga phage Calle_1. RNAcentral describes it as "tRNA-Trp". The record is from RNAcentral. Lineage: Duplodnaviria; Heunggongvirae; Uroviricota; Caudoviricetes; Pervagoviridae.